Molecule: ribosomal RNA, 482 nt
Filed under: uncultured bacterium
Lineage: Bacteria
Description: partial 16S ribosomal RNA
Rfam family: Bacterial small subunit ribosomal RNA
Source: RNAcentral
AUUGAACGCUGGCGGCAUGCUUUACACAUGCCAGUCGAACGGUAACAGGCCGCAAGGUGCUGACGAGUGGCGAACGGGUGAGUAAUGCAUCGGAACGUGCCCAGUCGUGGGGGAUAACUACUCGAAAGAGUAGCUAAUACCGCAUACGAUCUAUGGAUGAAAGCGGGGGACCGUAAGGCCUCGCGCGAUUGGAGCGGCCGAUGUCAGAUUAGGUAGUUGGUGGGGUAAAGGCUCACCAAGCCAACGAUCUGUAGCUGGUCUGAGAGGACGACCAGCCACACUGGGACUGAGACACGGCCCAGACUCCCACGGGAGGCAGCAGUGGGGAAUUUUGGACAAUGGGCGCAAGCCUGAUCCAGCAAUGCCGCGUGCAGGAAGAAGGCCUUCGGGUUGUAAACUGCUUUUGUACGGAACGAAACGGCUCUGGUUAAUACCCGGGGCUAAUGACGGUACCGUAAGAAUAAGCACCGGCUAACUACGUG